CCUACGGGAGACAGCAGUGGGGAAUAUUGCACAAUGGGGGAAACCCUGAUGCAGCGACGCAGCGUGAGUGAAGAAGUAAUUAGUUAUGUAAAGCUCUAUCAGCAGGGAAGAAAAUGACGGUACCUGAGUAAUAAGACCCGGCUAACUACGUGCCAGCAGCCGCGGGAAUACGUAGGGGGCAAGCGUUAUCCGGAUUUACUGGGUGUAAAGGGAGCGUAGACGGCAGUGCAAGUCUGGAGGGAAAGGCGGGGGCUCAACCCCCGGACUGCUCUGGAAACUGUACGGCUGGAGUGCAGGUGAGGUAAGUGGAAUUCCUAGUGUAGCGGUGAAAUGCGUAGAUAGUAGGAGGAACACCAGUGGCGAAGGCGGCUUACUGGACUGUAACUGACGUUGAGGCUCGAAAGCGUGGGGAGCAAACAGGAUUAGAUACCCGGGUAGUC
This 440-nucleotide ribosomal RNA is filed under the name uncultured bacterium. RNAcentral's name for it is "partial 16S ribosomal RNA". It matches the Rfam family "Bacterial small subunit ribosomal RNA", at positions 338 to 795 of the family's 1533-position model. The record is from RNAcentral.